RNAcentral lists this ribosomal RNA (540 nucleotides) under Salmonella enterica. Its description in RNAcentral is "partial 23S ribosomal RNA". It matches the Rfam family "Bacterial large subunit ribosomal RNA", at positions 1 to 580 of the family's 2925-position model. Lineage: Bacteria; Pseudomonadati; Pseudomonadota; Gammaproteobacteria; Enterobacterales; Enterobacteriaceae. The record is from RNAcentral. RNAcentral also lists the same sequence under 46 other names.
GGUUAAGCGACUAAGCGUACACGGUGGAUGCCCUGGCAGUCAGAGGCGAUGAAGGGCGUGCUAAUCUGCGAUAAGCGCCGGUAAGGUGAUAUGAACCGUUAUAACCGGCGAUACCCGAAUGGGGAAACCCAGUGUGAUUCGUCACACUAUCAUUAACUGAAUCCAUAGGUUAAUGAGGCGAACCGGGGGAACUGAAACAUCUAAGUACCCCGAGGAAAAGAAAUCAACCGAGAUUCCCCCAGUAGCGGCGAGCGAACGGGGAGGAGCCCAGAGCCUGAAUCAGCAUGUGUGUUAGUGGAAGCGUCUGGAAAGGUGCGCGAUACAGGGUGACAGCCCCGUACACAAAAGCGCAUGUGCUGUGAGCUCGAUGAGUAGGGCGGGACACGUGGUAUCCUGUCUGAAUAUGGGGGGACCAUCCUCCAAGGCUAAAUACUCCUGACUGACCGAUAGUGAACCAGUACCGUGAGGGAAAGGCGAAAAGAACCCCGGCGAGGGGAGUGAAAAAGAACCUGAAACCGUGUACGUACAAGCAGUGGGAGC